GACGAACGCUGGCGGCGUGCUUAACACAUGCAAGUCGAACGGUGAAAGCGGAGCUUGCUCCGCUGGAUCAGUGGCGAACGGGUGAGUAACACGUGGGCAACCUGCCCCUCACUCCGGAAUAACUCCGGGAAACCGGGGCUAAUACCGGAUAUGACCUCCUUGGGCAUCCUUGGAGGUGGAAAGUUUUUCGGUGAGGGAUGGGCCCGCGGCCUAUCAGCUUGUUGGUGAGGUAGUGGCUCACCAAGGCGACGACGGGUAGCCGGCCUGAGAGGGCGACCGGCCACACUGGGACUGAGACACGGUCCAGACUCCUACGGGAGGCAGCAGUGGGGAAUAUUGCGCAAUGGGCGAAAGCCUGACGCAGCAACGCCGCGUGCGGGAUGACGGCCUUCGGGUUGUAAACCGCUUUCAGCAGGGAAGAAGCCGCAAGGUGACGGUACCUGCAGAAGAAGCACCGGCUAACUACGUGCCAGCAGCCGCAGUAA
This 485-nucleotide ribosomal RNA is filed under the name uncultured bacterium. RNAcentral describes it as "partial 16S ribosomal RNA". It matches the Rfam family "Bacterial small subunit ribosomal RNA", at positions 28 to 523 of the family's 1533-position model. The record is from RNAcentral.